ACGCUCGACACCUACGGGAGGCAGCAGUGGGGAAUAUUGCACAAUGGGGGAAACCCUGAUGCAGCGACGCCGCGUGAAGGAAGAAGUAUCUCGGUAUGUAAACUUCUAUCAGCAGGGAAGAAAAUGACGGUACCUGACUAAGAAGCCCCGGCUAACUACGUGCCAGCAGCCGUGGUAAUCUGAGCGGGCUGGCAAGGC
RNAcentral lists this ribosomal RNA (198 nucleotides) under uncultured bacterium. RNAcentral describes it as "partial 16S ribosomal RNA". It matches the Rfam family "Bacterial small subunit ribosomal RNA", at positions 328 to 539 of the family's 1533-position model. The record is from RNAcentral.